AUGUGUGUACCAAAGAGGAAGGGAGGAAUGGGGUUUCGAGACCUUCACAGUUUUAAUCUUGCUAUGUUAGCAAAGCAGUGUUGGCGGCUUCUCCAGAAUCCUGAUUCCUUGUGUGCUCGAGUUCUAAGUGCAAAGUAUUAUCCAAAUGGUGAUAUUUUAAAAGCUGGACCUAAGAAAGGGUCCUCAUUUACUUGGCAAAGUAUAGUCGCUGGAAUUCAGACUUUGAAAAGAGGUUGUAUAUGGCGAGUUGGUUCAGGAUUGCAAAUAAAAAUUUGGGAAGAUCCAUGGAUCCCAUCUAGCGAAACAAGGAGAGUCAUUACACCAAGAGGAGGAACUGUGUUAACAUUGGUACAUGAUUUGAUUGACCCUCAUACGGGUCAAUGGGAUUUGGAUCUCAUUCUAUUCUCACCGGUGGAUGUCGCCAGAAUUGUGCAGAUUCCCCUUCGGAUUGAGGCUGUGGAAGAUUAUGUUGCAUGGAAAUAUACAAGAUCGGGAACUUUCUCGGUCCGAUUGGCGUAUCAUGCGAAGUUCAAUCAUCAAUUUGGGCGCCAAAUGGACAGAUCAGAUGGCCAGGGCAGUGUGCACAUAAAUCCGAUCUGGAAGGAAUUGUGGCAACUUCGUAUCCCAGGGAAAGUUAAACAUUUUGGAUGGAAGGUACUAAAGCGUGUAUUGCCAUGCCUAGGUGUCAUGGCUGGACGACACAUCCUGGUUCUUUCACAAUGCCCAAUAUGUAAAGUUGGGUUUGAUGAUAUACAACAUGUCAUCUUUAAUUGUUCAAGAGCAAAGGAGGUAUGUAUAACAACAACAACAAUUCCAAACAAGUUGGGGUAG
Molecule: ribosomal RNA, 831 nt
Filed under: Triticum aestivum (bread wheat)
Lineage: Eukaryota; Viridiplantae; Streptophyta; Magnoliopsida; Poales; Poaceae
Description: partial small subunit ribosomal RNA
Source: RNAcentral